UUUAAUCAAGGUCGGAUGAAG
This 21-nucleotide microRNA is filed under the name Sus scrofa (pig). RNAcentral's name for it is "ssc-miR-9861-5p". The record is from miRBase by way of RNAcentral. Lineage: Eukaryota; Metazoa; Chordata; Mammalia; Artiodactyla; Suidae.